GGGUGAUCUAAAUUGUGCUCAUGAGGAAAUAGACAUCUUCAAUCCCGCGAUAUCAAAGUUGUUACAGUGCUCACUCUAGAGGAAGAGGAAGAGUAACUCAAUAUCAGUUGAGGAUCAUAUUGCAUUAGCCUAGAUUACUUGAGAGAUAUAUACACCUAAAUAACUGGUUCUCACCUUUAAUUCCUCAUCACUCAUCUACCAAAGUUUACUCUCAAAUCAACAUGUCCAGGACCCUAUUAGAGAGAUUAAUUCCCCUAGGAAAUCAAGGAGAGGAGCCUUAACUAGAAAAAGAUGAUUUGGUACCUUGAAUUGGAUAAUGAAAUCACCAAACAUGUCCGAAUCCCUCCUAUGAUGCAGAAAAAAAACCCACAAUCAAACAGGAUUCAGGGGAGUAUACUUGUAAAUACAAAGAAUGAACCAAUGUACCUCUUGAGCAAGUGCAGUGACAUAACCAAGUUGCUCUGUCUUGCAACGGGACCAUAUAACAGAAGUUAAAUUGUUGUUCAUAGCAAACUCAAAAC
Molecule: long non-coding RNA, 521 nt
Filed under: Capsella grandiflora
Lineage: Eukaryota; Viridiplantae; Streptophyta; Magnoliopsida; Brassicales; Brassicaceae
Description: long non-coding RNA (CGRA_LNC000431)
Source: RNAcentral